ACCGGAGGGAGAGCCCGACCUCCCAGACCCCAAGGUAGACGGGCGACGCCCCCCGCCCCCACCCAGGGGUCUUGAAACCUCCGCGCCAGGACGCGCUAGGUACCUGGAAAGGGGGAGGUGGGCGAGGCGGGGCGUGGUGCCCCACGGGCCCGCGGCCCAGACCCUGACCACCGCCUCCGCCCGCGGGCCUCGGGCGCUACCAGCCCGUGACGCGGGGCCUGCCCGGCCCUGGCCAACAGCCGCCUGGAGUCCCUACAGCCGCCGCCACCAGCCCCGACGACCCCCCCCCACCCCCAUUUCAACCCCGAAAAGGAGCAGAACCCCACCGCGCGCCCAGACGGCACCCUCCUCUUCCCCCACAGCCGUGGCCCGUCCCCGCACCCACGUCCCAGGCACCCUUUCCCCUGCCACCGAGGGCAGAGGGACGCUCCGACGGGAAGCGUGGCGCAGUCGGGCAGGAGCACGACAGAGGAAGGGCGCGAGAGAGCCGGCCGGCCGGUCGGAGGGCACUCCCCAGGCUCGGAGGGCGGGGAGAGGCGCCUGGCGACCUGGCGGAGAGCAGAGCAAAGGACAAGCGACGACCGGCCGGGAAGACUGGUCCAGGGCCGGCGGCGACCGGCAGGCGAGCGGCCCCGCCGCGCAGCCUGCGAGAUGCACCGGACGCUCCGGACUGUGCCGUCACGACCGGGGACAGUCCUGGCCACCGCCAGAGGCGAAGGUGUGUAGCCGGGGGAACCUCGGCCCCCCAGCCUCGAGACCACCGGACCCGACAGCCGGCCGUCGGGAAUACCCUGUCUCCGCGCGGAGGGACUGGCCUCCGGAUGUCUCCCUCCCUCCGUCCCAUCCCGCGCCGCACGGGUGGAGGAAGCUCGCGAGCCGGCGGGCGAGGCCACUGCGCUGUUACCUAACAAAUUGGCAUCAGGAUAGACAAAUCCUCCAAUGGAAGAAAAUACGGAGUCCAGAAAAGAAAGUAGAAAAUACCAUAUACAAAAAUUUUUUUAUCCUAUAAGUCUUUAUUUCUGGAUAUUUUUAAAUAUAAAUUUAUUUAUUUUAAUUGGAGGUUAAUUACUUUACAAUAUUGUAUUGUUUUGCCUUCAGUUCAGUUCAGUUCAGUCGCUCAGUCCUGUCUGACUCUUUGCGACCCAUGAAUCGCAGCACUCCAGGCCUCCCUGUCCAUCACCAACUCCCGGAGUUCAACAUGAAUCUGCCAAUACAAAAUUUAAUUCAAAAUGAAACACUGACCUAAAUGUAAAC
This 1254-nucleotide long non-coding RNA is filed under the name Bos indicus x Bos taurus (hybrid cattle). RNAcentral's name for it is "lncRNA (ENSBIXG00005004602.1)". The record is from RNAcentral. Lineage: Eukaryota; Metazoa; Chordata; Mammalia; Artiodactyla; Bovidae.